RNAcentral lists this ribosomal RNA (586 nucleotides) under uncultured bacterium. Its description in RNAcentral is "partial 16S ribosomal RNA". It matches the Rfam family "Bacterial small subunit ribosomal RNA", at positions 355 to 1375 of the family's 1533-position model. The record is from RNAcentral.
UGGGGAAUUUUGGACAAUGGGCGAAAGCCUGAUCCAGCAAUGCCGCGUGUGUGAAGAAGGCCUUCGGGUUGUAAAGCACUUUUGUCCGGAAAGAAAUCCUUGGCUCUAAUACAGUCGGGGGAUGACGGUACCGGAAGAAUAAGCACCGGCUAACUACGUGCCAGCAGCCGCGGUAAUACGUAGGGUGCAAGCGUUAAUCGGAAUUACUGGGCGUAAAGCGUGCGCAGGCGGUUUGCUAAGACCGAUGUGAAAUCCCCGGGCUCAACCUGGGAACUGCAUUGGUGACUGGCAGGCUAGAGUAUGGCAGAGGGGGGUAGAAUUCCACGUGUAGCGGUGAAAUGCGUAGAGAUGUGGAGGAAUACCGAUGGCGAAGGCAGCCCCCUGGGCCAAUACUGACGCUCAUGCACGAAAGCGUGGGGAGCAAACAGGAUUAGAUACCCUGGUAGUCCACGCCCUAAAACGAUGUCAACUAGUUGUUGGGGAUUCAUUUCCUUAGUAACGUAGCUAACGCGUGAAGUUGACCGCCUGGGGAGUACGGUCGCAAGAUUAAAACUUAAAGGAAUUGACGGGGUCAUAGCUGUUUCCU